Molecule: ribosomal RNA, 1244 nt
Filed under: Atractospora aquatica
Lineage: Eukaryota; Fungi; Ascomycota; Sordariomycetes; Atractosporales; Atractosporaceae
Description: partial large subunit ribosomal RNA
Rfam family: Eukaryotic large subunit ribosomal RNA
Source: RNAcentral
AAGCGGCAACAGCUCAAAUUUGAAAUCUGGCCCUAGGCCCGAGUUGUAAUUUGUAGAGGAUGCUUCUGGUGCGGUGCCUUCUGAGUUCCCUGGAACGGGACGCCAGAGAGGGUGAGAGCCCCGUAUAGUUGGACACCAAGCCUCUGUGAAGCCCCUUCGACGAGUCGAGUAGUUUGGGAAUGCUGCUCAAAAUGGGAGGUAAACUUCUUCUAAAGCUAAAUACCGGCCAGAGACCGAUAGCGCACAAGUAGAGUGAUCGAAAGAUGAAAAGCACUUUGAAAAGAGGGUUAAAAAGUACGUGAAACAAUUGAAAAGGAAGCACUUGUGACCAGACUUGUGCCGUGCGAAUCAUCCAGCGUUCUCGUUGGUGCACUUUGCGCGGUUCAGGCCAGCAUCGGUUUUUCUAGGGGGAUAAAAGCUCUGGGAACGUGGCUCCUCCGGGAGUGUUAUAGCCCUCUGCACAAUACCCUUGGGGGGACCGAGGUUCGCGCUCUGCAAGGAUGCUGGCGUAAUGGUCAUCAGUGGCCCGUCUUGAAACACGGACCAAGGAGUCAAGCAUUAGGGCGAGUGUUUGGGUGUAAAACCCGCACGCGUAAUGAAAGUGAACGUAGGUGAGAGCUUCGGCGCAUCAUCGACCGAUCCUGAUGUAUUCGGAUGGAUUUGAGUAAGAGCCUUACCGCUUGGACCCGAAAGAUGGUGAACUAUGCUUGUAUAGGGUGAAGCCAGAGGAAACUCUGGUGGAGGCUCGCAGCGGUUCUGACGUGCAAAUCGAUCGUCAAAUAUGAGCAUGGGGGCGAAAGACUAAUCGAACUAUCUAGUAGCUGGUUACCGCCGAAGUUUCCCUCAGGAUAGCAGUGUUGUUUUCAGUUUUAUGAGGUAAAGCGAAUGAUUAGGGACUCGGGGGCGCUAUUUAGCCUUCAUCCAUUCUCAAACUUUAAAUAUGUAAGAAGCCCUUGUUACUUUAUUGAACGUGGGCCUUCGAAUGUAUCAACACUAGUGGGCCAUUUUUGGUAAGCAGAACUGGCGAUGCGGGAUGAACCGAACGCGGGGUUAAGGUGCCGGAGUGGACGCUCAUCAGACACCACAAAAGGCGUUAAUACAUCUUGACAGCAGGACGGUGGCCAUGGAAGUCGGAAUCCGCUAAGGACUGUGUAACAACUCACCUGCCGAAUGUAUUAGCCCUGAAAAUGGAUGGCGCUCAAGCGUCCCACCCAUACCCCGCCCUCAGGGUAGAAACGAUGCCC